RNAcentral lists this ribosomal RNA (275 nucleotides) under uncultured Singulisphaera sp. Its description in RNAcentral is "partial 16S ribosomal RNA". It matches the Rfam family "Bacterial small subunit ribosomal RNA", at positions 338 to 611 of the family's 1533-position model. The record is from RNAcentral. Lineage: Bacteria; Pseudomonadati; Planctomycetota; Planctomycetia; Isosphaerales; Isosphaeraceae.
CCUACGGGUGGCUGCAGUCGAGAAUCUUCGGCAAUGGGCGCAAGCCUGACCGAGCGACGCCGCGUGGGGGACGAAGGCCCUCGGGUUGUAAACCCCUGUCGGGGGGGAGGAAGGCGUCGUGCAGAGCGGCGCUUGACCGAUCCCCGGAGGAAGCACGGGCUAAGUUCGUGCCAGCAGCCGCGGUAAGACGAACCGUGCGAACGUUAUUCGGAAUCACUGGGCUUAAAGCGCGUGUAGGCGGGCCGCCGCGUCGGCCGCUGAAAGCCCCCGGCUCA